UAGGGAAUCUUCGGCAAUGGGGGGAACCCUGACCGAGCAACGCCGCGUGAGUGAAGAAGGUUUUCGGAUCGUAAAGCUCUGUUGUUAAGGAAGAACGAGUGUGAGAAUGGAAAGUUCAUACUGUGACGGUACUUAACCAGAAAGGGACGGCUAACUACGUGCCAGCAGCCGCGGUAAUACGUAGGUCCCGAGCGUUGUCCGGAUUUAUUGGGCGUAAAGCGAGCGCAGGCGGUUAGAUAAGUCUGAAGUUAAAGGCAGUGGCUCAACCAUUGUAGGCUUUGGAAACUGUUUAACUUGAGUGCAGAAGAGGAGAGUGGAAUUCCAUGUGUAGCGGUGAAAUGCGUAGAUAUAUGGAGGAACACCGGUGGCGAAAGCGGCUCUCUGGUCUGUAACUGACGCUGAGGCUCGAAAGCGUGGGGAGCGAACAGG
Molecule: ribosomal RNA, 429 nt
Filed under: Bacteroidota bacterium
Lineage: Bacteria; Pseudomonadati; Bacteroidota
Description: Bacteroidetes bacterium partial 16S ribosomal RNA
Rfam family: Bacterial small subunit ribosomal RNA
Source: RNAcentral